UACGGAGGGUGCAAACGUUGCUCGGAAUCAUUGGGCGUAAAGCGCAUGUAGGCGGUCGGCUAUGUCGGAUGUGAAAGCCUCGGGCUUAACCCGAGAAGUGCAUCCGAAACUGGCCGGCUUGAGUACGGAAGAGGGUCUCGGAAUUCCCGGUGUAGAGGUGAAAUGCGUAGAGAUCCGGAGGAACACCGAAGGCGAAGGCAGUGUCCUGGCUGGUGACUGACGCUGAGGUGCGAAAGCUAGGGGAGCGAACGGG
Molecule: ribosomal RNA, 253 nt
Filed under: uncultured bacterium
Lineage: Bacteria
Description: partial 16S ribosomal RNA
Rfam family: Bacterial small subunit ribosomal RNA
Source: RNAcentral